Long non-coding RNA from Anolis sagrei ordinatus, 220 nucleotides. RefSeq lists it as uncharacterized. The record is from RefSeq and is a predicted model, not a curated record. Lineage: Eukaryota; Metazoa; Chordata; Lepidosauria; Squamata; Anolidae.
GCAGAAUUGCACAGUGGAGCCUGGGACUCGAUCAUCUUCCAAAACCAACCUUAAGGACGUGUUCCACAUUCCUGCAGAUGGACUUCCAGAGAUAAAAGGUCAAAUGGCUUCGCAAAUAGCAGAUAAAUGUCAGAAUGAGAAGAACUGUGUCAAGGGCGCCUUUGGCAUCUCGGCCACCACAGGAUCCAAGAAACUCAGGAGGAGAAGCACAGCUUUCCAU